RNAcentral lists this ribosomal RNA (483 nucleotides) under uncultured bacterium. RNAcentral's name for it is "partial 16S ribosomal RNA". It matches the Rfam family "Bacterial small subunit ribosomal RNA", at positions 28 to 507 of the family's 1533-position model. The record is from RNAcentral.
GAUGAACGCUGGCGGCGUGCCUAACACAUGCAAGUCGAACGGAGUCGUUUUGGCAAUCUCUUCGGAGAUGGAAUUCUCGACUUAGUGUCGGACGGGUGAGUAACGCGUUCGCAAUCUGCCUUUAUGAGGGGGAUAACAGUCGUAAACGCCUGCUAAUACCGCAUAAAGCAUUACAUUCGCAUGUUUUUCUUGCUAAAGGAGCAAUCCCCUUUUAGAUGAGCUCGCGUCUGAUUAGCUAGUUGGCUGGGUAACGGCCCACCAAGGAGAAGAGCAGUAGCCGGACGGAGGGGUGGGACGGCCACAAGGGAAAUGGGAAACGGCACAGAGUCCUACGGGAGGCAGCAGGGAGGAAUAGUGCACAAUGGGGGAAACGCUGACGCAGGAACGACGAGUGAUGGAAGAAGGAUGUAGGGGUGAAAAGAUCUAAAAUCAGGGACGAAACAAAAGAAGGUAACUGAAGAAUAAGCAACGGCUAACUAAGUG